GGGGACGUUACGGAUUCGACAGGGAUAGGUCGAGCUUGAGUUGCGAGCCGGGGGGAUCGGCCCCGUCAUCAACGUCAAAGCCAAUAAUAACUGGCAAACAAAACAACAAUUUAGCUUUCGCUGCCUAAUAGCAGUCUGAAUAGCUGAUCCUCCGUGCAUCACCCAUGUGCUACGGUAAGGGUCUCACUUUUAAGUGGGUUACGCUCGCUUGUCUCCGUCUGGGGCAAACGAGAAGAGCAUAAUCAGACUAGCUAGAUAGACGCCUGUCGCCGGGCAGACAUCUAUGCGAAAUCCAAAUACGGCAACUACGCUCGUAGAUGCUCAAGUGCCGAUAUUUCUGGACGUGGGUUCGACUCCCACCGUCUCCAUCU
Molecule: non-coding RNA, 371 nt
Organism: Listeria grayi DSM 20601
Lineage: Bacteria; Bacillati; Bacillota; Bacilli; Caryophanales; Listeriaceae
Rfam family: transfer-messenger RNA
About the family: Bacterial tmRNA, also known as 10Sa RNA or SsrA, is named for its dual tRNA and mRNA-like properties.
Source: Rfam